UGGGGAAUAUUGCACAAUGGGCGCAAGCCUGAUGCAGCAAUGCCGCGUGAGUGAAGACGGCCUUAGGGUUGUAAAACUCUUUCGCUAGGGAAGAUAAUGACGGUACCUAGUAAAGAAGUCCCGGCUAACUCCGUGCCAGCAGCCGCGGUAAUACGGAGGGGACUAGCGUUGUUCGGAAUUACUGGGCGUAAAGAGUUCGUAGGCGGACUAGCAAGUUAGAGGUGAAAUCCCAGGGCUCAACCUUGGAACUGCCUUUAAAACUGCUAGUCUAGAGACCGGAAGAGGUUAGGGGAAUACCUAGUGUAGAGGUGAAAUUCGUAGAUAUUAGGUGGAACACCAGUGGCGAAGGCGACUCACUGGACAGGUAUUGACGCUGAGGUGCGAAAGCGUGGGGAGCGAACAGGAUUAGAUACCCUGGUAGUCCACACCGUAAACGAUGAAUGCCAGUCGUCGGGUAGCAUGCUAUUCGGUGACACACCUAACGGAUUAAGCAUUCCGCCUGGGAGUACGGUCGCAG
RNAcentral lists this ribosomal RNA (517 nucleotides) under uncultured bacterium. RNAcentral describes it as "bacterial SSU rRNA". It matches the Rfam family "Bacterial small subunit ribosomal RNA", at positions 355 to 891 of the family's 1533-position model. The record is from RNAcentral.